UACGUAGGGGGCAAGCGUUGUCCGGAAUCAUUGGGCGUAAAGCGCGUGUAGGCGGCCCGGUAAGUCCGCUGUGAAAGUCCAGGGCUCAACCCUGGAAUGCCGGUGGAUACUGUCGGGCUCGAGUCCGGAAGAGGCGAGUGGAAUUCCUGGUGUAGCGGUGAAAUGCGCAGAUAUCGGGAAGAACACCCGUGGCGAAGGCGGCACUCUGGGACGGUACUGACGCUGAGACGCGAAAGCGUGGGGAGCGAACAGG
Molecule: ribosomal RNA, 253 nt
Filed under: uncultured bacterium
Lineage: Bacteria
Description: partial 16S ribosomal RNA
Rfam family: Bacterial small subunit ribosomal RNA
Source: RNAcentral